AGCAAUGUAGCAACACAUGACAACAUAGCAAUGUAGCAACACAUGACAACACAGCAAUGUAGCAACACAUGACAACACAGCAUGGUAGCAACACAUGACAACAUAGCAAUGUAGCAACACAUGACAACACAGCAAUGUAGCAACACAUGACAACAUAGCAAUGUAGCAACACAUGACAACACAGCAAUGUAGCAACACAUGACAACACAGCAUGGUAGCAACACAUGACAACACAGCAUGGUAGCAACACAUGACAACACAGCAUGGUAGCAACACAUGACAACACAGCAUGGUAGCAACACAUGACAACAUAGCAAGGUAGCAACACAGCAUGGUAGCAACACAACAUGGUAGCAGCACAAAACAUGGUACAAACAUUAUUGGGCACAGACAACAGCACAAAGGGCAAGAAGGUAGAGACAACAAUACAUCUCACAAAGCAGCCACAACUGUCGGUAAGAGUGUCCAUGAUUUUGUCUUUGAAUGAAGAGAUUGUGAUAAAACUGUCCAGUUUGAGUGUUUGGUGCAGCUCGUGAGGCCUAAGAGGAUUUUCUAAAUAAACAUCAACCAGUGGGUCUUGCGACAGGCAUACAGAGAUGACCAGUUUACAGAGGAGUAUAGAGUGCAGUGAUGUGUCCUUUAUAAGGAGCACUGGUGGCAAAUCUGAUGGUCGAAUGGUAAAGAACAUCUAGCCGCUCGAGAGCAUCCUUACCUGCUGAUCUAUAAAUUAUGUCUCCAUAAUCUAGCUUGCGUAGGAUGGUCAUCUGAAUCAGGGUUAGUUUGGCAGCUGGGGUGAAAGAGGAGCGAUUAUGAUAGAGGAAUCCACAUCUAGAUUUAACUUUAGCCUGCAGCUUUGAUAUGUGCUGAGAGAAGGACAGUGUACCGUCUAGCCAUACUCCCAAGUACUUGUAUGAGGUGACUACCUCAAGCUCUAAACCCUCAGAGGUAGUAAUCACACCAGUGGGGAGAGGGGCAUUCUUCUUACCAAACCACAUUACCUUUGUUUUGGAGGUGUUCAGAAGAAGGUUAAGGGCAGAGAAAGCUUGUUGGAUACUAAGAAAGCUUUGUUGUAGAGCAUUUAACACAAAUUUUGGG
Long non-coding RNA from Oncorhynchus tshawytscha (Chinook salmon), 1095 nucleotides. NCBI's taxonomy places the organism in Eukaryota, Metazoa, Chordata, Actinopteri, Salmoniformes, Salmonidae. The record is from Ensembl.